GCCGUCGUAAAGAUCGGAAGUGAU
Molecule: non-coding RNA, 24 nt
Filed under: Arabidopsis thaliana (thale cress)
Lineage: Eukaryota; Viridiplantae; Streptophyta; Magnoliopsida; Brassicales; Brassicaceae
Source: RNAcentral